Molecule: long non-coding RNA, 1199 nt
Filed under: Struthio camelus australis
Lineage: Eukaryota; Metazoa; Chordata; Aves; Struthioniformes; Struthionidae
Description: lncRNA (ENSSCUG00000005614.1)
Source: RNAcentral
GUUUAACAGAAAUGUAAUAAUAACAGUAGUAACGUUAAUGCUAUUGAAUGAGGUAGUAAUUAUUUCUUUAAGCUCUAAGUCUUAAAUAAACAGUGUAUGCCUAAGUCCAUUUCAGUGCUUCCAAGAAAAUAAGCAGCAAAGUUCUCUUCUGCUAAAAUGGAGAAUGAAGUAUUUGGGGAUGGAAAGGCAUUUAGCAAAGGCAGAAACUCUUACUGCUGUCUCUGGAGCUUGUCCCCAGACUCACCGUGGGAGAGUUAAAAGGAAUGAAAACAAGAGAUUUAAUUGAACAUGCAUCUUGGAACAUUCAUCCUUCCUCUGAUAUCACGUUGCAUGUAAAAAUAUCAAGACGCUAUUUCAAUAACAAGAUGAUGUUUCAUUCAGUUGGGUUUUCAGGUGCAGAGGCAGAGAUGACUAUUGUGAGCUGGAAAUCACUAUCAUUCCAACCUGAGGAGGGCUCCUGUCACUUUGUCCUCCAUUUCAAACCCCAUAUUGUGUCUAAGGAGUUUUGCGUCAUUCUGAUGCCCACAGGAGCAACAUCGCAAGAGACCGCAAGCGUUAGUGAACAACAUAAUAUCAGGCCUAAGGCUUGGACUACUUUUACAAAGGCUUAGAAGGCAUCUGAAUGCAAUUCCUGAGAAAGUCCUAUUACAAGGACUCAGUGGGAAUAUCUUCUCCUUGUGCCUUUCCAAGAAGAAAACUCAGCUCAUCAGUAGAUCCCUACCAUGUCGAAGCGCCUAUGUCCUGUUUUACAUGCAUCCUGGGAUUUAAUGUUUCUCACUAGCUAGCUGAAAGCAUGUACUUGCUCUAGGUUUUCUGGACCCACUGGAUUUUUAAUCUCUGCUCUGUGAAGCAGCUAUCUUCUGUGUUGGGCAUUGCAGUGCCUAAUUUGCGAACAUAUAAGUCCUUUAUUGCUUUUAGCCCUCAGUUUAAUUUACAGUCAGCAGUUCACCUCUUAAUUUCUGCAGUUUGCUCAAAUCUAGAUGAUUAUCUACCCCUAUAAUUAUAGUGGUGAGCAGUGUGUUAGUACCUUACACGUGCAUUCCUCAUCACUCAUAGCAAUACUUUUCUCUUCCACUCUAGUAAAAAGGGGCUAAAUGUCACAUGCGUUCCUGCUCACUCAUAGGAAUAUUCUUCUCUUCUAGUAAAAAGGGGCCAAAUUUCACCAUUGGUGUUACUAAAAUUGCUUUUAUAAAUCUAAC